UUUGGUAGCUAUAGCAAUGGUGUUCACCUCUUCCCAUUCCGAACAGAGAAGUUAAGCCCAUUAGCGCAGAUGGUACUGCCAUUAGGUGGGAGAGUAUGUCGCUGCCAACU
Molecule: ribosomal RNA, 110 nt
Filed under: Bacteroidales bacterium
Lineage: Bacteria; Pseudomonadati; Bacteroidota; Bacteroidia; Bacteroidales
Source: RNAcentral